CCAGACGAUCCUUCCACCUCAGCCUUCCAAGGUGCUGGGAUUAAAGGCAUGAGCCACCACGCCUGGCUGGGACUUUACAAUUUAGAGAAGACCUGAUCUCUACCUAAACGGAAGCGGCCACCUGUCUCCCAGCUGUCUGGGACUGUCUGCUGGAGCAAGUGACAUCACAGUGACCAGAAACCACCUCCCCUUUGUCUGGAGCAGUUAUGAUGUCAUUCCCUCUGGCAGCGAAGCAGGAUGUUGGCAGCUGGGAUUCCUCCGGGUCCUCCUGAAGUGAUAAUUGCCUUAGAUUUUGUUAUAAAGUGCAGCUGCUAAUUAUCUUGUUAAAUCACAGCCAUAUACUUUUUGGAUCUUUUUUUCCUUUGCAAUCCAUUUAAACAAUCUGGGAGAUUAAAUAAAACCACAUACCCCAAACAAAAACAAAAACACAACCCAGACACACACAUACACAUGCACACUCACACACAUAUUUUUUCUUCCUUAAAACACCAUAAGAACAAUUUUUUAAAAAUGAAAAGGGUACAGAUAUGGCAUAAUUAGAUUACUUCCAUUAAAAAGCCAUCAUUUCAACAUCCUCAUAUAAAUAUCUGCAUCCCGUUGCAUAUUUUAGGCAAUUGCAUAAUAAGCCCCCAAGUGAAAAACAGAGCAAAACUCAUUUCCUGACCACAAAAGGAAAAAGGAGUCACUAUGUGCUCUGAGUUCCAAGGAGAACUGGAUUACAUUCCUCCCACACAGACUGGAGGGAGAUGGAGUUCAUUGCUCCAGGGGAGAGAAUUAUGACAACACUUAACCGCUGUGACCCACGCUGCUCCAAGCUGCUCUGCGCCUCUCCACGUCGUUGGCCAUUAGAAGCAUGCAGCUCCCACUGAGGUCGGAGGAAGGAAGGAGAGGACCUAGCCACCUCCGUUUGGCUGGGAUGCUCCAGGCACGUGGAAAAACCUGUCCUGGGUUUCAGCAUCAACAGUUCGUUUGAGUGGGGUUUCUCUCCUUUACAACUGAACAAGUCCUGAGUGCAUACAUAUUUACGUGAAGCUGAGUUAGGAUGAAAGGAAAUCUCUGGAGCAGCCCGGAGCAGCAAAAGGAGUGGUAGAGAAAGCCUCCUAAUAGUUUCUCGGCAAGUUCCACCUUUUCCCGAGGAUAUGGGAAUGGUAUUCAUUCAAGCGUUGAAUCUCCUUGCUGCUUUGUUUAGCACUGGCUACCAGCCCCUCUGAGCCACUGCCCAGCUGUCUGGCAUGGUCAGAGCAGAGUCUUCAUCCAUGUGAUCAAGCCUAUUUAAUAGCCUUCCUCCUCCCUUCAUCCUUUUGGAUGCCAUCUUGGUUAUCUGGCACAAUGCUUGAAUUUGGACAAUUGAGAACACAUGACUUCCUUGCAUUUUGAGAAAAAAGGCAGUGAGAAGAGCUUGGACUAGAAAUGCGAAGACCUGGGAUCAAGCCUCUCUUUGCCAUAUGACGUUGGACAAGUCUUUCAAAGGCUUAAUUUUGAACUUUAUUUUUCUCCUCUUAAAAAUAAAACCUGUCAGGCCUGCUAUGCACUCCUUGGGGACAAUGACCAUGUUUGUCUUCUUUCCCCCUUCUCUGUCUUCCUCCUUCCCUUCAUUUCUUUCUUCUCAUCUUUCUGUCCUCUGGCCUCAGAUGCGGAGUUGAGUUACCCAUGCACCUCAUUGGCAGCCUCAUCAAUCCCAGCAUAGAUCCCUCUUGUUUUGUUUUCUUAUUUUUCCUCUACAUCCUUCAUCCCUACUCCAUUCUCCUCUCCCCAUCCUACCCCUAGGUCUGACACCCACUCUGAUAUAUUUCCUUUAAAAGAUAUAUGGCAUUUUGGAGGGGGGGUGGUGGGUAUACAUGUGCUUUUAAUUUAUAAGAAUAGUAAUUUAAUAUAAAGCUAUAAAUCUUUUUCCUUUUGCACUCAACACGCUGUCUUAAAGACCUGUCCAUGGCUGUAUGUAAAUCUGGUCUAUUGUUUCUGACUGCUACAUGGAAUUCUGUCAUAUGUGCCUACCAUCAUCACACGCAUCUCUGGGGUAAAGACCUGGGGGCUUUCUGGGUCACAGGGUUUACACAGACUUCAUUCCUAAGCAUUGCCAGAUAAUCCCUCAGAAUGACAUAUCACUUUGCAGUUCCACCAGCAGUGCAUGAAAGUUCCCCUUUCCCCACAUCUUCUACAGCACUUGGUUUUAUUCAGCUUCAUAAGUUUUGCCAAUGUCUUAUGUUUGAACUAAUGUUGUUUUAAUUUGCAUCUCUCUGAUAAUUUGCGGAGGUUGACAAUCUCUUCCUCUUUUUAUUCAUUAGAGGUUUCCUAUCUAUGAAUUGCUUGUCCAUAUUAUUUGACCUUUUUUUUCUUGCUAUUUUUCCCUGUGGGUUUUUAAAAAAUAAUCUCAGCAUUUCUUCUGUGUUUGAUAGCAGUGAACACAGCCAAUACCUACUG
RNAcentral lists this long non-coding RNA (2421 nucleotides) under Homo sapiens (human). Its description in RNAcentral is "HSALNT0281619". Lineage: Eukaryota; Metazoa; Chordata; Mammalia; Primates; Hominidae. The record is from RNAcentral.